This 503-nucleotide ribosomal RNA is filed under the name uncultured bacterium. RNAcentral describes it as "bacterial SSU rRNA". It matches the Rfam family "Bacterial small subunit ribosomal RNA", at positions 28 to 526 of the family's 1533-position model. The record is from RNAcentral.
GAUGAACGCUAGCGGGAGGCUUAAUACAUGCAAGUCGAGGGAGAAGUUUCGUCUUCGGAUGAAAUGGAAACCGGCGAACGGGUGAGUAACGCGUACACAACCUACCCUUAACAAGGGGAUAGCCCCGGGAAACUGGGAUUAAUACCCUAUAAUAUUGAUGUUCUGCAUAUUACGUCAAUUAAAGUUCAGGCGGUUAAGGAUGGGUGUGCGUCCCAUUAGCUUGUUGGUGAGGUAACGGCUCACCAAGGCCACGAUGGGUAGGGGGCGUGAGAGCGUGGACCCCCACACGGGUACUGAGACACGGACCCGACUCCUACGGGAGGCAGCAGUAAGGAAUAUUGGACAAUGGGCGCAAGCCUGAUCCAGCCAUCCCGCGUGCAGGAAGACGGCCCUACGGGUUGUAAACUGCUUUUGUCAGGGAAGAAACCCCUCGAUUUAUCGAGGGCUGACGGUACCUGAAGAAUAAGCACCGGCUAACUCCGUGCCAGCCGCCGCCGUAACAC